GUUAUAUGGUCAAGUGAAGAAGCGCAUACGGUGGAUGCCUUGGCAGUCAGAGG
RNAcentral lists this ribosomal RNA (53 nucleotides) under Stutzerimonas stutzeri. RNAcentral's name for it is "Pseudomonas stutzeri partial 23S ribosomal RNA". Lineage: Bacteria; Pseudomonadati; Pseudomonadota; Gammaproteobacteria; Pseudomonadales; Pseudomonadaceae. The record is from RNAcentral.